AGCUCGACCGGGUCGACGCCGCGGGUGACCACCAGGUAGUCGCGCAACGCGAUCCCGUGCCGGCCUUC
Molecule: small RNA, 68 nt
Organism: Kribbella flavida DSM 17836
Lineage: Bacteria; Bacillati; Actinomycetota; Actinomycetes; Propionibacteriales; Kribbellaceae
Rfam family: ASdes TB sRNA
Source: Rfam